Long non-coding RNA from Mus musculus (house mouse), 472 nucleotides. RefSeq annotates it as predicted gene, 41135. The record is from RefSeq and is a predicted model, not a curated record. The transcript has 3 exons. Lineage: Eukaryota; Metazoa; Chordata; Mammalia; Rodentia; Muridae.
CUUGUUUGUGAUACCCUGAUGCUGGAGAAAACCCCAGAUGACCCAGAACAGAAGAAUGGAUAUAGAAAAUAAUGGUUCAUUUACCCAAUGGAAUACUACUAAGCUAAGAAGCAAAAGGACAUCCUGAGAUUUGCAUGUACAUGGGUCGAACUACUCGGACCAUGAGAAACCAACUUUUGGAGAGAAGACACCAAGCAAUGAACUGUCAGAAAGUUGUUUGAACAGAGUGGAAGCCGAAGACAUAAGGAAGCAUACUAAGUUUACAAGGGAUGACAUCAAUUCAUUAGGCAUUUAAGCUGAUUUCUCUGCAGAGUUGGAUUUGAAUUGGAGAGCAUGCACCUAUGUACCUGUUGCCCCUGGCAGCAGGGGUUCUAAUAAUGUGAGUGGGAGGUCACUUUCUUAGCCUGACAGCAAAAUGAAGAUUUUUGAGCUCCGGAGAUAUGAAAACGUAUGGACCUUUAAAUGACCUGAA